AUUGAACGCUGGCGGCAGGCCUAACACAUGCAAGUCGGGCGGAAACGAGAAGUAGCUUGCUACUUCGACGUCGAGCGGCGGACGGGUGAGUAAUGCCUGGGAAUAUGCCUUGAUGUGGGGGAUAACUAUUGGAAACGAUAGCUAAUACCGCAUAAUGCCUUCGGGCCAAAGAGGGGGACCUUCGGGCCUCUCGCGUCAAGAUUAGCCCAGGUGAGAUUAGCUUGUUGGUGAGGUAAGAGCUCACCAAGGCAACGAUCUCUAGCUGGUCUGAGAGGAUGAUCAGCCACACUGGAACUGAGACACGGUCCAG
Molecule: ribosomal RNA, 310 nt
Filed under: uncultured bacterium
Lineage: Bacteria
Description: bacterial SSU rRNA
Rfam family: Bacterial small subunit ribosomal RNA
Source: RNAcentral